AGCUCCAAUAGCGUAUAUUAAAGUUGUUGCAGUUAAAAAGCUCGUAGUUGGAUUUCAGUCUUAGCACGGCUGGCCCGCUCCCUUGAGGAGCCGAGUGCCGGUGUGUGCUGGACUUCCUUCUGGCAAGGAUCUUCUACCUCUAUGAGGCCGGGAGUGACUUCUGGAUCAUUUACUUUGAAGAAAUUAGAGUGUUCAAAGCAAGCUUACGCUGUGAAUAUAUUAGCAUGGAAUAAUAACAUAGGACUUGGGUUCUAUUUUGUUGGUUUUCUGAACAUCAAGUAAUGAUUGAUAGGGACAGUUGGGGGUGCUGCUAUUAUAUGGCCAGAGGUGAAAUUCACGGAUUCAUAUAAGAGCAACUUAUGCGAAAGCAUUCACCAAGGAUGUCUUCU
Molecule: ribosomal RNA, 389 nt
Filed under: uncultured eukaryote
Lineage: Eukaryota
Description: SSU rRNA
Rfam family: Eukaryotic small subunit ribosomal RNA
Source: RNAcentral